CAGCUUUCCAUGCUACAAUUUUCCCUAAUCCACAUUUUAAAAAAAGAAAAAUGCAUACAUGGGUAAUGCAAUACAUAUGCACAUAUUACCCAGCAAGCUAAACACACAGAGCUGAACUAAAAUUGACUUCUCUUUGGGCAGAGAAACAAAGCAGGUCAGGAGUAAUUGUGCAGCAUGAACACAGAUACAAACAGAAAAUGAAUGCCAUGGAGGAGCACUGAAAACAAAUAAGAGUAAACAUUCUAAGCCUACGGACCAAUCAGCUCCUCCCACUGUCUCUUUGUGGAGGCUGUAGUAGCACCCAAAUCUCCAAGCACAAGAGACAAGGGAGGGAAGUGAACGUGGCCUUGAAAUCUCAACAACUGUGGUACCCUGACUUCCCAUAACGAUUACUGACUAGCUGCUGUUUGGCUUCAAGACAACAAAAGCUCCUUCAAGGUUUAAACUCGGGAGAUCACCAAAAAUCAAAACUCCUUAGUUGUUUUUUAAAUUCUAAAGUGGGAAUUUUAGAAUUUAAUUUACCCUAUUUACUCGAAUGUAACUUUUGACUUCUCUCUAUUGAAAUGCACAAAAACAAACAAAAAAAUUUAUGUGUGGAUACAGAGAUAGGAGACUGGCAGUGCCAUUUUUGGCUAUUUAGUAAAACAUCUUGUACUGAUAGAGCUUGCAUUGAUAUUUUCUCGCAUGGUUAAUUUGCAUGUUUAAGCGUUCACAGUUUCAUUUAAUGAACAUAUCCCCCGACAAAUUGAUAAUUCAGCCUUCAAUUAUGCAGAAUUCAGUUAAGUCUUAUCUGUGUAAUCCAUCAGUAUUUGAUUUACAAACAGAAAAUUUCUUAAUCCAUUUGCCCUUGUUUGAACUGGGUUUGAUAACUUAGUUAUGACUAUCUUCUUCACUUUGUGGCACACAUCACAUAGUUAUUCUUGGAUAGGAUACAGUCACUGACGCAACCAUGAACCGCUAAUUACAAGCUGGUGACAUUCUGCUUGUCUAUGCAGCUUUGAAGUUCUAAGGCUGUUUUUCUCUUGUGCGCUUGCUCUGUUUCAUUCUCUUCUCCUCAUGCCACCCACCCCCAAUCACUUACUCUCUCUUUCCUCUUUUCACUUUAAAGCCUUUCUGGAUUCACUCUAGGACUAUCUGGAGAAAGAGGUAAGAAUGAUCAGAUUCUGUAACUUAUUGCUUUUCCUUUCCUUCUGUACUAUCCCUGCACACAGAUCUACAGUUUGAAAGUACAGUAAUAAGAUCCUCACCCAGCCCCAUCCGCAGGAAUGCAUCAACAGCUGGCCAAACAUAAUCCAACACACAGAGCUGCCUUUGUAGAAUUAGUAACAAACAGUGGAAGGGCCAGACAGGCGCCCCAGAAGAGCUCCCCAUGACAACUGGGAAACCUCCUCACCCCCAGGGUUGAGCUGACUCCACUGAGCUGGGGUUGGAGAACCCCAGCUCUCACAUCUGAAUCUACAACAAGCCUCAAGUGCCUGCCCUCAACCUCACUAGAAGCUAUUCGGAGGGCAUUCGGCUCUCCAUAACAGCAAGUUAGAAGCAAGCAUUCUCCAUACUGACAACAGCCAUACUCUGCCUCAUGGCACAUGCCUUUUGAAAUGCAACACUGCAAAUCUCCAAAUCACAUGAACAGCAUUUACACCUGUACCUAACCAUCUCAGCUGUGAGCUGGUAGGACCACCUCUCGUCUUUAGAAAAUAAUUUCUUUUUGCAAAUUAUAGGCUGAUCCCGGCAUUCUGAAACAUGUAAAUAUAACACUGUAUUCAUCUCCACUGAGCAUUUAGCAUCUGAAGCCUGUGGUAGCCAGCUGGUCUCAAAGUCAUCUGGGAUACAUUUAUUUUGAUUAAAUUGAUCAGAUUUCUAUUUACAGGAUAGAAUCUUUUGCCAUUACUGAAUACAGCUGUGUUUACAGGGAUUUGUAGAAGAAGAAAACAAAACCCCACAAUCGGUCCUAGCAAAGCACAGAGCAUUCAGAACUGGAAGGAGUUAAAACAGAGGGGGCUUGCUUUCACAGUAAAAAGAAAAUUCUGCAUGCAGCUGCUUUGGCCAUGCUGUCUCACUAGUCAGGAAAUGGGUGUUGAACUGGAGCUGAAAACACAAGCUGCAAUCAAGCCCGAUCCAGCAAAGUGACAGACUUCCUGUGUAAAAUGGUCAGAAACCUUUUUUCAUGUCUCUACAUGCAUGCACAUGCAUUUAAAUCCAUGCUGCGAGGCUGCGAUUUUCUCUGGGGACACUGGUACAGUCAUCUAGCCCAUCAGUUCCUUCGUCGACAGCGCCGGGGACAUCCAGACUACAAUUUACAGUUCCUCUAUCCAUGUGCUGGGUUAUAAAUUAUGCCAUCCUCCCUAGAAUGAGAAUGCACAGCAAGCGGCAGACAAUCACCCGGCAUUCGGCAUCUCUUUCUUUUCACGCGCUCCCUCGCUCCGCCUUUCUCCAGCUCUGCCUUCUCAGGCAGAUACAUCAGAUACCUUGUUUAUCCAUCUUCAGCUCCACUCUGAGGGCGCAGACGCACGAUUCCGGGAUCGGGUGCACCUUGGCGAAGCCCAGGCGGGAGACGGCAGGAGCAGCUCAGGUAACCAGGGGAAGCUUGGCGUGCCCACGGAGAUGCAGCCCUGGAGCUGUGAGGAAAGACGGUCUGGCUUCAGAAUUUA
Molecule: long non-coding RNA, 2651 nt
Filed under: Pan troglodytes (chimpanzee)
Lineage: Eukaryota; Metazoa; Chordata; Mammalia; Primates; Hominidae
Description: long non-coding RNA NONPTRT015029
Source: RNAcentral